This 254-nucleotide ribosomal RNA is filed under the name Oscillospiraceae bacterium. Its description in RNAcentral is "partial 16S ribosomal RNA". It matches the Rfam family "Bacterial small subunit ribosomal RNA", at positions 1289 to 1533 of the family's 1533-position model. Lineage: Bacteria; Bacillati; Bacillota; Clostridia; Eubacteriales; Oscillospiraceae. The record is from RNAcentral.
CAGUUCGGAUCGCAGGCUGCAACCCGCCUGCGUGAAGUCGGAAUUGCUAGUAAUCGCGGAUCAGCACGCCGCGGUGAAUACGUUCCCGGGCCUUGUACACACCGCCCGUCACACCAUGAGAGCCGGUAACACCCGAAGUCAGUUGUCUAACCGCAAGGGGGACGCUGCCGAAGGUGGGAUUGGCGAUUGGGGUGAAGUCGUAACAAGGUAGCCGUAUCGGAAGGUGCGGCUGGAUCACCUCCUUUCUAUGGAGA